Molecule: ribosomal RNA, 465 nt
Filed under: Leptospira borgpetersenii serovar Ballum
Lineage: Bacteria; Pseudomonadati; Spirochaetota; Leptospiria; Leptospirales; Leptospiraceae
Description: bacterial SSU rRNA
Rfam family: Bacterial small subunit ribosomal RNA
Source: RNAcentral
GGGGGCGCUUGCGCUCUCGCUAUUGGAUGAGCCUAAGUCGGAUUAGCUAGUUGGUGGGGUAAAGGCCUACCAAGGCGACGAUCUGUAGCUGGUCUGAGAGGAUGAUCAGCCACACCGGGACUGAGACACGGCCCGGACUCCUACGGGAGGCAGCAGUGGGGAAUAUUGGACAAUGGGGGCAACCCUGAUCCAGCCAUGCCGCGUGGGUGAAGAAGGCCUUCGGGUUGUAAAGCCCUUUUGUUGGGAAAGAAAUCCAGCUGGCUAAUACCCGGUUGGGAUGACGGUACCCAAAGAAUAAGCACCGGCUAACUUCGUGCCAGCAGCCGCGGUAAUACGAAGGGUGCAAGCGUUACUCGGAAUUACUGGGCGUAAAGCGUGCGUAGGUGGUCGUUUAAGUCCGUUGUGAAAGCCCUGGGCUCAACCUGGGAACUGCAGUGGAUACUGGGCGACUAGAGUGUGGUAGAG